GAUUGUGAUAGAGCAUAUGGAUG
This 23-nucleotide non-coding RNA is filed under the name Arabidopsis thaliana (thale cress). Lineage: Eukaryota; Viridiplantae; Streptophyta; Magnoliopsida; Brassicales; Brassicaceae. The record is from RNAcentral.